UGGGGAAUAUUGCACAAUGGGCGCAAGCCUGAUGCAGCCAUGCCGCGUGUAUGAAGAAGGCCUUCGGGUUGUAAAGUACUUUCAGCGGGGAGGAAGGGAGUAAAGUUAAUACCUUUGCUCAUUGACGUUACCCGCAGAAGAAGCACCGGCUAACUCCGUGCCAGCAGCCGCGGUAAUACGGAGGGUGCAAGCGUUAAUCGGAAUUACUGGGCGUAAAGCGCACGCAGGCGGUUUGUUAAGUCAGAUGUGAAAUCCCCGGGCUCAACCUGGGAACUGCAUCUGAUACUGGCAAGCUUGAGUCUCGUAGAGGGGGGUAGAAUUCCAGGUGUAGCGGUGAAAUGCGUAGAGAUCUGGAGGAAUACCGGUGGCGAAGGCGGCCCCCUGGACGAAGACUGACGCUCAGGUGCAAAAGCGUGGGGAGCAAACAGG
RNAcentral lists this ribosomal RNA (429 nucleotides) under Chloroflexota bacterium. RNAcentral's name for it is "Chloroflexi bacterium partial 16S ribosomal RNA". It matches the Rfam family "Bacterial small subunit ribosomal RNA", at positions 355 to 776 of the family's 1533-position model. Lineage: Bacteria; Bacillati; Chloroflexota. The record is from RNAcentral.